AGAAGACGCACUGUGUGGGAGAGCUGCUGUAAGAUAGCUGGUCUGACAGCGAGAUAUCAGUCUGCUUGUCGCACACUGUGCUGACGUAAAUACACCAGGAAAUCAUGAAAGAAAAUCCACACAUUAGUAUUUUGUUUGGUCUCAACAUUUUUGCCCGUGUUUCUGCUCUGAAGAUAGAUAAUGCCACCGAAAAAGAAAAGAGACGUCCAAAGCUAUUUCACCACCCAGAGAGUUUCAGUGCUGAGCAGCAUCAAGAGCAAAAUCGAUAAUCUCAACUACAUUGUUGAGCUUAUUGCUUCAUUCCCAACUAAAUUUAGAACUGCACUUUAGAGCUGUUGGAUACAAGCCUACAUGAUUACCUUGCCAGUAUAGAUAAAUGCAUUCCUCUGGCUGACAUCAGAACCAUCAUCAAACAGGUAUGAACACAGCACCGUCAGAUGUAAAGCAAAACACUGCACGCUCUGUCAGUUUCGGGCUUUGGUAUAUUCUUACUGACCAUUGUACUGUCAGAUGGCCACAAUACUAGACACGCUGAAGUGAAGUGUGGAGAUCCACGAUGAUCUCCACCUCCAGAACAUAAUGAUGGUGAAUCACCAAAUACGACCCUUCAUAUUCAAGCUGAUAGACUUCAGUGAGGCCUUUCUCUGAUCAGAAGCCACGCGAGACAUGCUUCUGCAACCACUCCAUAUUGUGUCUCCAGAAGUUGUACUGGAGCUUCCAUUUUCUGAGGCCAUUGAUAUGUGGGCCCUGGGCUGUGUGAUGUUUGUGAUGGUCUACAACAAUGCACUGCUCGAAGGAAACUGUCUCUAUGAAAUAGAACUAGAGAUUAUGUUUACAGAAUGUGUUUACAUUCAAACUGGUUGCUAGGAGACUGUUUCUUUGAUCCAAGGCCACUCUGGAACUGAUCAUGAUGUUCUAAAUAUUUGGGUGCUCAACAUUAUUUAACCAACUAACUCAGGUCUACAGACACAUCUUUUAGGUGAUUCGAAGAGGAGAGAUGUAUUCAACCACAGUGAGUCAGGCAAGUCACCCUAACACUUUUCUACUUGGGAAUCUGUAUGUUCAGUUACUGUGAACCAAAGUACAGCUAUGAUUUUAGCAACUUUGAACAUUAACUGAGUGGAAAUGCGCGUAAUUUUAAUAAGGCCGCAGACAGUCAGUUGACCACUAGUAUAUAACAGUACAUGAUUGUCUAUGUAAAGACCUAACGCAGUUGUUCAGCAUGUUUAGUGUAAUCUAACUGUUGACAGAAAACAGUGGAUGGUAGCAAUUGUUAUGUUCCUUCAAAGGGCAGAAAGUAACUUUUCCUUUUUCUUGUUUUUACCCAUUUUGUCUCUAUAUUCUGAGAGAAAAAUGUCAUCUGAUGAAUCCUGUUCAUCCUAUUCGACAUUGGAGGUCCACGUCCCCAGCAAAAUUGAGUUCCUGGAAGUUCUGGGAGAGGGUAACUUGGGAGUAAUGUUGAAAUGUCAGAGGACGGUCACCGGACAGAUUGUGGCAACAAAGUUUGUUAAAUCCAUCUGCAAAGAAGCUGUCAAGGAGGUGCGAUACUUUUGUGAUUUUGGUGUUCACCGUUGUAAAAGAUCUUGUAUAGUCAAAGGUGCAGUAAGUGCCAAGUGCAAAAAGGCAAUUCUUUUUAUUGAGAGCAAUUAAAUAUUGCUAGGAACCAGUGGAUGGUAGCAAUUGUUAUGUUCCUUCAAAGGGGCAGAAAGUAACUUUUCCCUUUUCUUGUUUUUACCCUUUCUAUCUGUAUUCUGAGAGAAAAAUGUCAUCGGAUGAAUCCUGUUCAAUGAAUCCUCUUCAGUGGGGCCUUUUUCUGAUCAGAAGCCACGCGAGACAUGCUUCUGCAACCACUCCAUAUUGUGUCUCCAGAAGUUGUACUGGAGCUUCCAUUUUCUGAGGCCAUUGACAUGUGGGCCCUGGGCUGUGUGAUGUUUGUGAUGGUCUACAACAAUGCACUGCUCGAAGGAAACUGUCUCUAUGAAAUAGUCUACAGACACAUCUUUUAGGUGAUUCGAAGAGGAGAGAUGUAUUCAACCACAGUGAGUCAGGCAAGUCACCCUCACACUUUUCUACUUGGGAAUCUGUAUGUUCAGUUACUGUGAACCAAAGUACAGCUAUGAAUUUAGCAACUUUGAACAUUAACUGAGUGGAAAUGCGCGUAAUUUUAAUAAGACCUCAGACAAUCAGUUGACCACUAGUAUAUAACAGUACAUGAUUGUCUAUGUAAAGACCUAAAGCAGUUGUUCAACAUGUCUAGUGUAAUCUAACUGUUGACAGAAAACAGUGGAUGGUAGCAAUUGUUAUGUUCCUUCAAAGGGCAGAAAGUAACUUUUCCUUUUUUCUUGUUUUUACCCAUUUUGUCUCUAUAUUCUGAGAGAAAAAUGUCAUCUGAUGAAUCCUGUUCAUCCUAUUCGACAUUGGAGGUCCACGUCCCCAGCAAAAAAAAAUGUCAUCGGAUGAAUCCUGUUCAAUGAAUCCUCUUCAGUGGGGCCUUUUUCUGAUCAGAAGCCACGCGAGACAUGCUUCUGCAACCACUCCAUAUUGUGUCUCCAGAAGUUGUACUGGAGCUUCCAUUUUCUGAGGCCAUUGACAUGUGGGCCAUGGGCUGUGUGAUGUUUGUGAUGGUCUACAGCAAUGCACUGCUCGAAGGAAACUGUCUCUAUGAAAUAAUGAACUGCACUGUCGAAGUCCUUGGUGUCCCAGCGGACUAUAUUCUUAACAAUUCUCUGAAGGCAGAGUACUACUGAAAGAAGACUGAGUCCAACAGCUGGAAGUUCAAGGUCCCGCUGAUGCCACUACGGAGUUUGUAGCCCAUGCAGUCAGUGUUUAUGUUCCAAAUUGCUUUUGUAACUUCGCCUUCCAGUCGCCCGUCAGGGCAGAAAGCCUUCACGACCAGUCCCUGCUCAGAGCACCGCGGCUGCACAUUCCUCUCUGAAAAGACGCGCGGGAGGCCAAAAUGAUCACCAAGAAACAUGAGCCCCAUUCAGAAGACGCAUAAAAGCUGCAGCCGCGGUUCGCCAAUUCUCUGCCGAUGGUGAUUCACACAGAGCAAAGCAUCUCUGCCUUAAAGACAAACCGCCGUGAAUUCACACAGAAAGCCAGCACUGCGGCACCUAAAGAGGCGUGACGGUACAAGUCAUGAUAAUGACUUUCAAGGUGCUCCGUGCUGUUCUGUCUGAAUCCCUCACUCGCGGGACGAGUUCACAUGAUUUUUGGAAGUUUGUUUUUUAACUGAUUUCAUAAAAGAACAUAAGUUCACAUGA
Molecule: long non-coding RNA, 3263 nt
Organism: Acanthopagrus latus (yellowfin seabream)
Lineage: Eukaryota; Metazoa; Chordata; Actinopteri; Spariformes; Sparidae
Exons: 11
Source: RefSeq, a predicted model, not a curated record